UACAUUGUUUUCGAAUAUUUUGCAUGUAUCAAAGCUCUGAUAAACAAGAUAGGGUAUUCCUACAUAGCUGGUGGGAGCCACGGCAAAUGGAUCUUAAAGUCUUCAAAAAAGAAUACAUACGAUUGCAUUGCAUGUAGUAACGGAUGCGAUCAUACCAGCACUAAUGCACCAGAUCCCAUCAGAACUCCGCAGUUAAGCGUGCUUGGGCGAGAGUAGUACUAGGAUAGGGGACCAACCAGAAAGUCCUCGUGGUGCAUCCCACUUUUUCUUUCGGUUUUUCUCUAUUUUGUUUUGUUAAAAAUGUAUGACUCUAUAACGUUUAGACCGUGAGGCAAAACUUGGAAUGUGAUACCUUUUCGGAAAGCCCAAAGAGAGCUCUCCGAUAAAUGAGGAAGGAAAAUGGAAUUCUUCUAUUGGUUUUUUAUUCUACUCCAAAUUUUGACCUUAAUGUACUUUUUUGGUCUUUUUGGUGAUCUUUGCUAUAUGACAGGGCGAAAAUUAUAUGAUCGGACAUUGUUUUCGAAUAUUUUGCAUGUAUCAAAGCUCUUAUAAACAAGAUAGGGUAUUCCUACAUAGCUGGUGGGAGCCACGGCAAAUGGAUCUUAAAGUCUUCAAAAAAAGAAUAGAUACGAUUGCAUUGGAUGUAGUAAACGGAUGCGAUCAUACCAGCACUAAUGCAACGGAUCCCAUCAAAACUCCGCAGUUAAGCGUGCUUGGGCGAGAGUAGUACUAGGCUGGGUGACCUCCCGGACAGUCCUCGUGUUGCAUCCCUCUUUUCUUUUUCGGUUUUUCUCUAUUUUGUUUUGUUAAAAUUGUAUGACUCUAUAACUUUUAGACCGUGACGCCAAACUUCGCAUGUGAUACCUUUUCGGAAAGCCCAAAGAGAGCUCUCCGAUGAAUGAGGAAGGAAAAUGGAAUUCUUCUAUUGGUUUUUUU
RNAcentral lists this small RNA (936 nucleotides) under Arabidopsis thaliana (thale cress). The record is from RNAcentral. Lineage: Eukaryota; Viridiplantae; Streptophyta; Magnoliopsida; Brassicales; Brassicaceae.